CGCGUAGGCGGGAAUGUAAGUCAGACGUUAAAGACCGGAGCUUAACUCCGGGAAAGCAUCUGAAACUACAUUUCUUGAGGGUGGACGGAGAAAGCGGAAUUCCAUGUGUAGCGGUGAAAUGCGUAGAUAUAUGGAAGAACACCAGUGGCGAAAGCGGCUUUCUAGUUUACACCUGACGCUGAGGCGCGAAAGCUAGGGGAGCGAACAGGAUUAGAUACCCUGGUAGUCC
Molecule: ribosomal RNA, 229 nt
Filed under: uncultured bacterium
Lineage: Bacteria
Description: partial 16S ribosomal RNA
Rfam family: Bacterial small subunit ribosomal RNA
Source: RNAcentral